RNAcentral lists this ribosomal RNA (433 nucleotides) under uncultured bacterium. RNAcentral's name for it is "partial 16S ribosomal RNA". It matches the Rfam family "Bacterial small subunit ribosomal RNA", at positions 29 to 507 of the family's 1533-position model. The record is from RNAcentral.
AACGAGCGCUGGCGGCAGGCCUAACACAUGCAAGUCGAGCGGACCUUUCGGGGUCAGCGGCGGACGGGUGAGUAACGCGUGGGAAUAUGCCCUUCUCUACGGAAUAGUCCUGGGAAACUGGGGGUAAUACCGUAUACGCCCUUUGGGGGCAAGAUUUAUCGGGGAAGGAUUAGCCCGCGUUGGAUUAGGUAGUUGGUGGGGUAAUGGCCUACCAAGCCGACGAUCCAUAGCUGGUUUGAGAGGAUGAUCAGCCACACUGGGACUGAGACACGGCCCAGACUCCUACGGGAGGCAGCAGUGGGGAAUCUUAGACAAUGGGGGCAACCCUGAUCUAGCCAGGCCGCGUGAGUGAUGAAGGCCUUAGGGUUGUAAAGCUCUUUAAGCUGGGAAGAUAAUGACGGUACCAGCAGAAGAAGCCCCGGCUAACUCCGUG